CCACAGGCACUGGGGAGUGGGUGGGGGCUCCCCAAAAACCACACGCUGCUCCCCAAACUCCUUUUAGAAGUGCCCCGGAAGACCUGGACCUGGCUGUGCACAAAAGCACCAUGCUCUCCUCUGACCAGAUCCCUUGGAUGAGGUCCUUAAAGACCCCCUGGAGCUCAGUUUCCUCAUCAGUAACUGGAGAGGUUUGCACCAGGUGGUCCUUGAGGGGCUCCCCCCAGCUCUGAGCCCACGAUGGUGCAUUUCAUACCCUGGACUGUGUCUGAAAACUUGAGAAGGAGUAGGGAAUAGGAUAGAUGCGAACUGAGCUUCUUGAUGGGGUCCCGUACCUACCCCAUAUUUACUGCACUAGAAGCAGGGCCUGGAAUCCACACUUCAACAAGCUCACACUAAAAUGGGAGACCGUGCCACGCUGGCCUUUCUGGGGCUCCUCAGCCACGUUUUUGCACCUGCUGUUCUCUCUGUCUCCAUUAUUUCCCCUAGAUCUGCACUGCUGUGUCCCUGAUUUCACUCAGAUCACUGCCCAAUGUCCUCUUCAGAGAGGUCUUUCCUAACUGCCUCCUCUAACAGAAAGUAACCUGGGGCCAGGCAUGGUGGCUCACGCCUGUAAUCCCGGCACUUUGGGAGGCCAAGGCAGGUGGAUCACCUGAGGUCAGGAGUUCAAGACCAGUCUGACCAAUAUGGCGAAACCCCGUCUCCACUAAAUACAAAAAAUUCACCUGGCGUGGUGGUGUGCACCUGUAAUCCCAGCUACUCGGGAGGCUGAGGCAGGAGAAUCGCUUGAACCCGGGAGGUGGAGGUUGCAGUGAGCUGAGAUUGUGCCACUGCACUCCAGCCUGGGCAACAGAGCGAGACUCCAUCCCAAAUAAAAAAGAGAAAAAAGAAAGAAACUUGGACACAAACGCAUGCCAUUGGAAGACCGUGGGAAGACACGGGCAGAAGGUGGCCAUCUCCAUGCCAGACAGGGACCUCAGAAGGAGGCCAUCCUGCCAACGCCUUGGUCUUGGACUCCAGCAUCCAGAACUUCGAGAUGAUAAGUGGGGGUUGUUGAAGCUGCCCAGUCUGGGGAACUUUGUGACAGCUGCCCCAGAAAUCUGAUCCACUGCACCUGGCCUCAGAGUUCAGGCUGGCUCCACUCUCUCUCUCCCGACACCUCCCAUCAGGUGGGGACCUGCAGCCCAUUCCCAGGUGGGGGUCUGCACAAGGACAAGUUUGGGAUGAAGCCUCAGGUCACCUGGCUUCCUGGAUCUAUAAACUGUCAUCUAAGUGACAGGCUUGGCUCAGGAAAGCCGCUCGGUGCCAACCAGCUUGAGAGCCUAGCUCCCGGGGGCAGGCCACCGCACAGAGAACACACACGCUUUCCUAACAGCCUUGCUGGGGAAAUUUGGCCACUGGCUGCAAAACCUCACUGGAAGUAAAAAAUAGGAGUGUCAGAUCCUGUAGCUGAAUGAAAGAAAUUUGGACCAGCCAGGGUUAAGGAAGACAGACUUUCUGCUCUCCAGAGUCUGCCUGUGCUCUCAGGACAGGCCUCGGUGUGGCAGCACGUGAACCAGUGGCAGGCUGUUUUUCUUUCUUUCCAUGUUCCCAGCCCCUGGCACAUGGUAGGUGCUCAGAAAGUGCUAAGGACUUCCUAAAUGCAAACCUACACAGCCUAGCCCGUGCAGCAGGGAACGGAGAUCACCGGGCACUCGGGAGCCAUCCACUCGGUGGUGGGCGAUUUGAGCCGCUGUCUUCAGGACCGAGACCAGGCAUCAGGGACCCCAGAUUGUGGAGCAGACAACAACGCCGGCUGACCUCGGACGACGUCUCGUCCCGUAUUCUAUGUCUCAUGUCCUCUGUGAAAUGGAAGAGCCUCCAUCCCUAAGGGGACAGAGUUUCGGGCUUGGUGAAUGGAGCCUGGUGCGAAGCAGGAAGGAAGCCCCUUGGCUCCCACCUGCCAGCUACUCCGGGGCACUCCCCCGACCUUCUGGCCAUCUCCAUUGCUCAGAGCCCCACUGUGGGAGGUCUGAGCUCUCAGAGGCUGCAGUGAAGAGUGACAAGGAUGACGCCCCCACCAACCCCAUCAGGGUUCCUGGGGGUGCGGAUGACAUGUGGGCCACCUGGGCUUGUCUUUAGCGUUUUGGGGAGAUGAAUAGUUUGAGUGACUGUCUGCUUGCACCUGCCUCAGGACAGAGUAGUGAGAGGUAGGAGGAAGGCGUAGAGGGGAAGGGAGCUUCAGAGGUAACCCCCGACUGAACCGAGAGUGCACAGGUGGUCAUCCUGCACCCAGUCCUCCUGUCAACACCAGUAAGUGGGCGGUCCCCUCCCUGGGCAGGGCAAGACCCCUGGGCCUGAGGGAGGUGGGAACGAGUGCAGGUGGCGGGGGUAAACAUCUCUGCAGGAGGCAGAGCCUGUGAGCCAGUGCCUCCGGCCAGCCCCUACUGCCGGGUGUAACGGGUGUGAAGGGAGACAUGUGGACCGGCACCUUGUUCCGGUCACUUCCACUCUGAGCUUUUCCCGCCCAUCACACCAAACUGCUGGUGGUGCCCCCGCCCUGCACUGCCGCCGCCUGAGGCCCUAUCCAAGCCAUCUCUGAUAGAGCUGAGCCUCGAGGGGCAGGACUCCCCUAAAAACAUCCCCUGUCUUCAGCAGGGGUCCAGGGACCUAGACAGGUGGGGGACCACCCGUUGUUACGGAGUGACUGGGAGGGCCACCCGAGGAGAGCCAAGCAGGGGACCACCCCUCCCGGCAUGGGCAGACCUAGCAGGGCAGCCCCGGGACUUGGGGCGUGAGAUCCGACUUCCUGAGGCUCCACUCCUGGCGGGGGGCAGGCCAGGCCACCGUGGCUCUCCAAGGAAGGCGCACUGCCUAGCUGCGUGGAGCGUGGUUGGCCUCCAGCCGUUGGCUUCCUCAGGGUCAGCAUCCUCUCUGCCUCUCCAGGAGUCUGAGCUAGGUGAGGAUACAAGGGCCUGACUAUUCCACCCCUCAAGGGCUCCUCUGAUGGGCAGCACUGGCUCUGCAUGCCCACUGGGCUGCCAGAGAUGAGUGUGGCAGAUCCACAUCGCAGCUUACCCACCCCUCCUGCACUCUCUUGCAGCCUCUCUUUUCUUCAUGGGUGUUGCUCCCUCAUAAAUAAAUAAAUAUAUAUAUAUACACACACACACACACACAUAGUUGCUGUUGUUGUUGUUGUUGUUGUUUUUGAGGCAGGGUCUUGCUCUGUCGCCCAGGCUGGAGUUCAG
Molecule: long non-coding RNA, 3227 nt
Filed under: Homo sapiens (human)
Lineage: Eukaryota; Metazoa; Chordata; Mammalia; Primates; Hominidae
Description: HSALNT0022944
Source: RNAcentral